This is a long non-coding RNA of Brassica rapa (field mustard), 7817 nucleotides long. RefSeq lists it as uncharacterized. The record is from RefSeq and is a predicted model, not a curated record. Lineage: Eukaryota; Viridiplantae; Streptophyta; Magnoliopsida; Brassicales; Brassicaceae.
UAUUGUUCUGAUUUUGGAACCUCUCGAAAAGGUGAGCUACACUGUCUUCUAAAAAAAGUAACUUUGAAAGCGAAGCUGUAAAAUUAAUUAAAGAGAAAUCUCAUAAUUAACGUGCUAUGAACAGUAAAAUGAUAAUAUGCCAAAUUUAAAAUUAUAACAACAAAACGAGUUUAAAUAUUUUAGAUUUCGUUUUUCUUUUUUUUGACCAUGGAGUUUAGAUCCUUCGAUUAGUACAUUCCCUUACAACGAGAUCCAGAUUAUAUAACCUAACCUAUGAUUUUUAAUAUUCUCUUACAUUUUCGGCAAUUUAAAAGUAUAACCAUUAGGCUAAUUUAUCGUCGGUUAUAAUGUUAGAUCUAGUUUUUUUUCUGUAUAUAGUUACAUAACAGAAAAUUGUGUGUUUUGUUAUGUACAUAAUCACAAUUACAUAUAUAUAUUUAUCAUCAAAAACACUAUGUAGCAUUUAAAUGAAUGUAUUAUAUACUAAUGUAGUAAUAUAAAAUAAUAUAAUAUAUAUAAGAUGUGUGUGUGUGACAUGAUUCGAGAAUUCGUUUAAAUUUUUGAAUAGUUGUCACCAGCGUUUUGUUUUUAUAAUUAUAAAGGAGAUUUUUGAUGAUAUAAAUAAUUUAUUUAUUAUUACCAAAAAAAUCCAGACAUUUCGACAUAGAUCAGUUAAAUUUGUUCCCUCUUCUCUUUGAUAUUUAGAUACAAAGAAAAAAUUUAGAAUGUAAUACAUAUAUAUGUUAGAUUUGUUCAUUUGUAUUUUUCAUGAUACUAUUUUUUAUUAAAGAAUGUUAGUUUCGAUUUGUGUUCCACAUAUAUUUAUAUCAGUGUCAUAUUAUAAAAUGAUAUUUUUAAAAAUAAAAAAUUAGGUAUGCAGAUGGAUUAAAUCUCAGAGAAUGUGGACAGUAUGGGUUGAAAAUAAAAUACUUAGAAGACCUUGGUCUAGGCUAUGCUUAUUAAGAACUUUUAAAUUCAUAAAAUGUGAUUUGCAGUCUUAUAUAAUCAUAGUUUCAUGAUUACGGCUUUAAAGGAUUGUAACAAAGCAAUGGCUCUUCAAAUGUGCCUUAUGGCAAGACACGGAAGCACGGACGAGCAAGUGGACUUAAAGGUUGGUCGGUGAUCGGGUGUGGUCAGGUGGUCGAGUGAGCAAUGGUCAGUGCGAUGGGAAUGAUGGUCGAAAUGAAAAGGCCGAAGGCAAAUGAGCUAUGGUCAAGAGGAAUGAGAUUGAGAUUGCUGGCCAUGUGGUACUCUCAGUUUGAUCAGAGUAUGGUUGAAGUGGACGAUGGUGGAACGAAGUUUGUUAAUUGUGUUACUCUCCCAAGCUUGGCCGAUGGAUGGAAUGGAAUGAUGGUGAAACGAGGACGACACAUAAUUCUAUGAAUAGGAACUUUGAUUAGUUGGCUUACUCUCAAGGAUUGAUUCUCAUAAACGCUCAAUAUAUUUAUUUAUUUGAUAAGGCAAAAAGUUUUUCAUUAUUGAUUUCUUGGUAAAAAUACAAGACUGCUUGUAUGGGACUUAUAUACAUCGUCCAAUGCAGUUUUCCUUUCUAGUGGUCGUGGAACAAAUGGAACACAAAGACUCGAUUCUAGAACUUAAAAGGAGGCUAAACAAGUGUUUUUUAUUUAACUUAAGCUUAAAAAAAGAAACAACGUAAACAAAAGGGUAAAUCAGUUAGUCAGGUAAAUCAAAGUAUUUUAAAUGCUUAUAUACCUUUUCUUUUAUUUAGGGAAUGUUAACUAGGUGUUUGGUGGAGCCAAGCAUGAACCGACAUGUUGAAGUGUGGCGUUUUGGUCUUGGAACAAGGUGCACCAUUUCACUUAAGUGGGAGAAUGAUACAUAUGCAAAAUCCAUUCAUCCUUUUGAUUGUUGGCUUAAUAGAUGCUUAGACCUCCUUGUGUAUUAUAUGGUCGAUCCUUGUUCGAGUUGGUUUGGCCGGUUUGAUUGUCAUCUUUCGAUUAGAUCAUGAAGACUUGGAAAGCUUGGUUAAAUCUUUCUCUUAAGACCCAACUACCUGACUGGUGGUCGACCUUGUCAAACAAUUAAAAUAUCAGAUUCUAUGUCUUCAUGAAUUAAUUAAGUUUAUGAAAUUUUUUUGACUAAUCCAUGAGACUGAACGAUAUUUAGGGUCGGUCUUAAGAUAAAUCUCAUAAAACAAAAACUUUAGACGCCGGAUAUUAUAAAAAAAAUUGAGGCCUCAGUUAUAGAAAAUUUCUUUGCUAUAGUGGUUUAAGGACUUGAAAAUCUUCUACAGGUGUUGAAAUUGAUUCCACUAGGACCAUCUCUAACCCAUCUCUAUAAUAGAGAUCUCUAAAAUAGAGAAAAAAAUAGAGAUGAUGUUUUUACUCCAAUGUGUUCCUCUAUAAUAGAGAAAUGCUAUAUUUGCCUCUAUAAAUAGAGGAAUGCUAUUUUUCCCCCUAAAUAUAGAGGAAAAAAAUAGCAUUCCUCUAUUUAUAGAGGCAAAUAUAGCAUUUUUCUAUUAUAAAGGAACGCAUUAGAGCAAAAAUACCAUAUCUAUUUUUGUCUCUAUUUUAAAGAUCUCUAUUAUAGAGAUGGGUUGGAGAUGCUCUAAGGAUCAGUUCUUUCAUACAUUUACGACGUUGUGUCUGCAGUACAUCAUUACCACUCAGAGAGUUUUGGGUUGCUUCGGGUUUUAUUUUCUGACAACAAAAGUUAUACUAUACUACUGGGUUACAUUGGUUAGAUACCAAUGUCCUCAUGUUUGGAAAUCCAAAUGCUUUUACGGUUUUACUUGCCAAAAGGCUAUUGGCAGCUUAGUCCUUUUCUCUUUAUAUAUUAACCAUCUAAUGAUCAUGAGAAAUGACAAUUAUUAUUUGAUAAUUAAUGUUUUGAGAAAUUAGUAUUUUCCGGAUAAAAAUGUCAAUAAGAUAGCGUGGGCGAUGAGCUAGCAACCACGCUUGUGAUUUUCAUCAUUGGUCUUUGAAGUGAUAACAAACAAACGAAAAAUAAACUAUUGUAUUUUGGAUUCUAAAUACAUGUGAAACAACACGAUUAUAUUCAUUUUAGGUAAUAUAGUGGAUUUUCAAAUUUGAAAUAUGAAUCGAAACUAUUAAAUACAUCUCUGAAACUGAUCUUAAAUAAUAUUUUCGUGAAUUAUUUUGAUGUUUUAAAAGUUAUGUAUAAAAUAAGAAACCAUUUUCUUUAAUAGAUUAAUUUAUCAAAAUUAUUAUCUACGCCAAUUUGGCAAUUUUCUGUGUAUUGUACGGUCUAUUCUGUCGCCUCCGUCAAAUUCGAGCUAAGAAAAAGUUAAUUGCUUGUUCCCUUGUUCUUUAUUGUGUUCUUUUGUUGCUACUUCUUAUAAUUAUAUGAAUUCUUCAAACAGCCAUCUGGAUCAAGAAUUUCAAAUUCGUAUUACAAAUAGUUAUUUAUUCCAGUUUUCGAGUUUGUUAUUUAAUUUUGAAUUAUAUGUUUUCAAUUUCGAACAUUUUUAUAUAUUUUUUUAAAAAAAUUUCUUUUUGAAACUAUUUUUAUUUAAUAUUUUAAAAUCAUUAAUAUUCGUAAGUGUAAUUAUUCAUAUUUAUAUUAAAAAUAAUAUUUUUAAAAUAAUUAUAUAUUCAAAAAUGUGAACAUAUGUAAAUGUAAUGAUUUAUAGUGUUGGAUAUAUAAUUUGGAUUUAAGGUGCAAUAGUUGGUAAGAAUAAUUAUUUUGUUUUAUAUUUUUUAUUACAAAGAUUUUGAAAAAUCACAUGAAUACAUAUGAUACUUUGAAAAUUGAGUAUUAUGAGUAAAAAAGAAUGGAAUUCAUCUCUCAAUAACACUAGAUUUAGUUAGAACUAGAGAAUCAAUAACAACUAAACUUUUUGAAUAACAAAAGAUUUGAAUGAAUUUUGAAAAUUCUUGGGGGGGGGGGGGGGGGGGGGGGGGGGGGGGGGGUUAUUGGGAGAUGAAUUUGUGUAGAGUUUGAAUUUUAAGAAUCCAUUGUUAUUGGUUCUUGGAUUUCAAAAACCUUAGUAUAAUCUAUUUUUAUUGAUUUAAGAAUUUUUAAAAUCCAUUCAAAUCUCUUGUUAUUCAAAACGUUUAGUUAUCAUUAAUUCUCUAAUUCUAACUAAAUCUAGUGUUAUUGGGAGAUGAGUUCUAUUCAUCUUUACUCAUAAGACUCAACUCUCAAAAUAUCAUAUGUAUCCAUGUGAUUUUCAAAAUCCUUGUGAUAAAAAUACUAGAAAACAAAAUAAUUAUUCUUACCAAAUAUCUAUUGCACCUUAAAUCCAAAUUACAUGAAAAUCUAUAUCAAUCUAAAAAAGUUAUGAUCAAAUUUCAUAAGUCAAUGUAUAUAAAUUUUCACAAUCCACAUAAUUUUUUUAAAUCUAUCAACUCUCAAAAUUCACAAACUCUACACAAAUUCAUCUCCAAAUAACUAAUAAGAAUCAAUUGUAACAAAAAAAUUUGAAAUCCAGAAACAAAUAACAUUGGAAUCUCCCCAUCUCUCAACCCCCCCCCCCCCCCACUCUUAUUUUACUACUCCCUUCGUAUUUUAAUAUAAGUCGUUUUACAGCUAUGCACAUAGAUUAAGAAAAUCAUUAAUUUUUUAUAUUUUCGAAACAAAAACAUCAUUAAUUAUUUACCUAACCACAAUUCAACCAAUAGAAAAAUAGAAGAUAUAUUAUCAUUGGUCAGACAUCAUUAAUUAUUAAUAAAUGUUAUAUAAAAAACCGAAAACGACUUAUAUUGAAAAAUGGAGGGAGUAUUACGGAAUCUAACGACCGUUACAGUUGAUAACUUAAUGCAAAACAAGCGUCAAUUUUCAUUGAUUCUCGUGCUAGGGUUUUAAAUGCCAUUUCGGAAGUGUUAGUGUGGGGACGUGACGUCUGAAAUUUAACGGGACCGUUACUACUAAAUAACUAAGCUUUUAAGGAUCUGUCAUUUACGUAGGUGACAGACAGAUACAUCCAAUUAUACCUCGCCACCUGCACGUUCCACUUCUAAAAAUCACAGACGUGAAGAGAAAGAAGAAAAGCUCUGUGGAUCCGUGGUACUCCUACAGCUUCUGUGAUUUUUAAGAUAACAAAUCUAAAUCCACUGAAUCUCGUGAAGUGUGAUGUCUGAUGUGACGCCACUCGAGACAAACUACUUUAUUUUUCCAAUUAAUAAAAAUAAAACUGGCACAAAAUCAGUUAAAAAUAAGAUGGUUAUCAACUUAAGUAUUAGUACUAAAAAGUUAAUGUACACAAUAAUUUAACAGUUAACACUUUUAUAAUUAACCAACGGUCAUGUCCUAAAUAAUACAACCAAAAACAUAUCAAGUAUGAAACUAAUUAAUUACUUGGGACAAAGCUAGUUUUGUGCGAAAAGAAAAUUGUUACAAACUUUCGUUGACUUUAGUUUAUUUUGUGGGGGAACCAUGUUUAAAGACAAGUUAACAUAAAAUUAGGGCACAUUUGAUAGUAUAUAUAUAAUAUAUAUAACAUACGUGUAUGUAAAGGUUGGCCUAGGAGAGAAAGAUGGGGCAAAAUAGAACUAAGUCUAAGUCGAAGAUGGGUCAUUGAGAUUUUUUUACAGAUUUCUUUAUAUGGGUCAUUGAGAUGAAAGGCAUAAUUUAAACUUUGAAUAUUAGAAAAAAAAUCUAAGCUCUUUUGUCCCAUCUCUUGGCUUCAUGAAAGAGAUCGACCACAUAACGUAUGAUAUGUGUAGCCUUAAUCUUCUCCACAUGUAUAUGCAACCCAAACACUAACCAACAUAUAAGAUAUAUAUAUAUAUAAUUGUAGAACAAUAAGAUCCAAUAAUAGGAUGACAUGUGCACCAAACUGUAUAUAUGUAUUUAUCCAGCGCAACUUACUCAAGCUAAUAUUUCGUGAGUGUUUAUUAUUUAGAAUUCAUGUUUGAAAAACUAUAACAAGAUAUUAUAAAGUCCAAGUUCAAUGGAUUGACAAUGAUAAAUUGUAUACUCUAAGAAAAACAUAAUAAUCAGAAACUUUUAUAAACUCCAACCGCUCUCCAUAAUUUGUUUGUGAAAUUUGUGAAUUAAUCCUAACUACCAUAUGUUUUGUUCAUCUGUUUUUAUUAUUGUUUACAACUUCAUACAUGCAUUAACGAGUUAUGUUUAAACUCAUGUUAUAAUAUGGGAAAUUCAUCAAUAAACAAUAAAUCCCGAUCAAUAUUAGACUAUAUACAAGUAUUGAUCACCUGUUUUUCAAUUCUAGAAAUUACUUCUAAAUCUUUUGUGCUAUCUAAGGUUUAUAUGUUUCAGACACAUAAACCAUAUAAUUUUCAGAGACAAAAGCCAUAUUUAAAUCAAUAAUUAAGAUCAUCAAUUUGGUUCUGAACAUGCAUGUGAAAUUUGAAUGUUAUAAGAAAAUACAUAAUAAACAAAAAGUAAUAUAUAUAUAUAUAUAAUUGACUGAAUCUCAAUACUAUUGAUACUAUUUUCUAAAAAUACCAUUGUUUGUUGUCCAUUUAUUAAAUACACUGAUAUGUUUUCAGAAAGUUCUUUUCUGCAGAUAAACUUUCAUAAGCCAGUUUAUAAAAUACAUUUAGUUUGAUAAUAAAUAUUAUCAAAGAUUAAUAAAUUUGUCGAAAUAUCUAUACUAUUAUUUGAGAAGUUAAUUUAUUGAUUUGUCAUGCUUCCCAUAAUUUUAGGUUUAGUCAUAUUUUAUGUUCAAUCAUUAAUUUUAAUGAAUAAUUUGGUGAUUUAUAUGAUAAUUUAUUUUAUUUUGAGAAUACAUAAAAAAUUAUAACGAUAAUAUCAUAGUUAAAUUUAUAUUAUAUAUUAUGUAGUAAUACUAAAAUACAAUUAUAUGUUUAUAUUAUAUUUGGUUUAGUAAUAUUAAACCGACUCUAUUUUAGUAUAUAUACCACAUAAGAUAGAAUGAAUCAUUUAUCUUUUAAAAUAAUUAUUUUUAAUACAUUCAAAAUCAAUCAUUUUGAUAAUUUCUGAAAAAAGUUGGCAAAGAAUUCAAAAAAAUUUAUAAGAUUUGAGCGUUUAAAGUCUUAAUUACUCUUCAUAAAUAAUUAGAUUAGAUUUGUUGAUAUAUAAUUACUUAUAAAUUAAAAAUUAAUUUCAAUAAUAUGAUAAUCAUCAUUAUCUAAAAAUAUUUGAUAUAUUAUGUUAUCCAAAAAUACUUUACAUCAUAAUAUUUUCAAAUAAAUAUAAAUAUAUUUACAUAGUUUUAUGUAUAUAUGAAUGUUUACAAGUUUAUUUUACGUAAUAAAAUAAUUUAUUUAAAUAAUUUAUUUAAAUAAUUUUUUUAUCAAAUAAUUUUAUAUUUAAAUAAUUAUUAAAUAUUUCAAAAGCAUGAAAAUAAUUUAUUUAAAUGGUUUUCGAAUUGAUAAUAUAUCUAUUUACAUCGUUAUAAGCUAAUUUAUAAAAUGAUCUUAAAAUUUUCAUAAUAGCAUUUUUUAAAAAAAAUUAUAUCAUAAAAAUGAAAUUUCUCAAAAUUUCAUAGAAUCUGAAAAUAUAAUAUCUCUAAUGAGAUUUGUGGGCGUUGGUCAAAGAUAUCUUGGUUAGAAAAAAUAGCUAAAUAUAUUUACACAAUUAGUGAGAAAAAGAAAAAAAAUACAUCUAAACAUUUCAAAUUUAAAUUAUUUUGUAAUUGAAUAGUUUCUUUUUUCAAAUUAUUUAUGUUAAAAUAUUUUAAGUUUUUUUUUAAACAUCGACAGCUGAAAAAAAUACAAAAAAUAAAGAAAGCAGGAAAUACAUAUCAAACCACAACCCGGUUUAUCUUGACCGGGAUAUCCCUUAUAUAUUAUUUGAGAAGCAUUGCAACAUUUUUUUGUAGCCACGUGUCAUCACUAGAAUGAUUCUCAGAAUCCUUAGAGAAAUAUGUUGGUCCAUCUAAAUAUAUAAUAAACUUUUUAUUAAAC